AGGAUGAACGCUGGCGGCGUGCCUAACACAUGCAAGUCGAACGUCCUGUCUCGCAAGAGGCAGGGAGUGGCGGACGGGUGAGUACCACGUGGGUCAUCUACCGUGAGGUGAGGAAUACCGGCGAGAAAUCGCCGACAAUCCCGCAUAGCUUCGGGAACGAAGAAAGCAGCAAUGCGCCUGGGGAUGAGCCUGUGGCCGAUUAGCUAGCUGGUGGGGUAAUGGCUCACCAGGGCGACGAUCGGUAGCUGGUCUGAGAGGAUGAUCAGCCACACUGGGAUUGAGAACGGCCCAGACUCCUACGGGGGGCAGCAGUGAGGAAUCUUCCGCAAUGGGGGCAACCUGACGGAGCAACGCCGCGUGCAGGAGGACGCUUUUCGGAGUGUAAACUGCUUUUCUCGAGGAAGAAGCGGACGGUACUCGAGGAAGAAGCCCGGCUAACUACGUGCCAGCAGCCGCGGUAA
Molecule: ribosomal RNA, 461 nt
Filed under: uncultured bacterium
Lineage: Bacteria
Description: SSU rRNA
Rfam family: Bacterial small subunit ribosomal RNA
Source: RNAcentral